This 465-nucleotide ribosomal RNA is filed under the name uncultured bacterium. RNAcentral describes it as "partial 16S ribosomal RNA". It matches the Rfam family "Bacterial small subunit ribosomal RNA", at positions 28 to 507 of the family's 1533-position model. The record is from RNAcentral.
GACGAACGCUGGCGGCGUGCUUAACACAUGCAAGUCGAACGCUGAACCCGCUUCGGUGGGGGAUGAGUGGCGAACGGGUGAGUAACACGUGGGCAACCUGCCCCCGGCUCUGGGAUAACUCCAAGAAAUUGGGGCUAAUACCGGAUGUGACCGCUGGCCGCAUGGUCUGGUGGUGGAAAGGGUUUCCGGCUGGGGAUGGGCCCGCAGCCUAUCAGCUUGUUGGUGGGGUAGUGGCCUACCAAGGCGACGACGGGUAGCCGGCCUGAGAGGGUGACCGGCCACACUGGGACUGAGACACGGCCCAGACUCCUACGGGAGGCAGCAGUGGGGAAUAUUGCGCAAUGGGCGGAAGCCUGACGCAGCGACGCCGCGUGGGGGAUGACGGCCUUCGGGUUGUAAACCUCUUUCAGCAGGGACGAAGCGCAAGUGACGGUACCUGCAGAAGAAGCACCGGCCAACUACGUG